RNAcentral lists this ribosomal RNA (628 nucleotides) under uncultured archaeon. Its description in RNAcentral is "bacterial SSU rRNA". It matches the Rfam family "Archaeal small subunit ribosomal RNA", at positions 1 to 622 of the family's 1478-position model. The record is from RNAcentral.
UUCGCCCUUUUCCGGUUGAUCCCGCCGGAGGUUACUGCUAUCGGUGUUCGACUAAGCCAUGCGAGUCAAAUGUUCUUCGUGAACAUGGCGGACUGCUCAGUAACACGUGGAUAACCUGCCCUUAGGUUCGGCAUAACUCCGGGAAACUGGAGAUAAUUCCGAAUAGGUCAAAUAUGCUGGAAUGCUUUUUGGCCAAAAGACUUCGGUUGCCUAAGGAUGGAUCUGCGGUCUAUCAGGUUGUAGUGGGUGUAACGUACCUACUAGCCUACGACGGAUAUGGGUUGUGAGAGCAAGAGCCCAGAGAUGGAUUCUGAGACAUGAAUCCAGGCCCUACGGGGCGCAGCAGGCGCGAAAACUUUACAAUGCGGGAAACCGCGAUAAGGGGACACCGAGUGCCAGCAUUUAUGUUGGCUGUCCACAUGUGUAAACGGCAUGUGUUAGCAAGGGCCGGGCAAGACCGGUGCCAGCCGCCGCGGUAACACCGGCGGCCCGAGUGGUAAUCACUUUUAUUGGGUCUAAAGGGUCCGUAGCCGGUUUGAUCAGUUCUUCGGGAAAUCUGACAGCUCAACUGUUAGGCUUCCGGGGAAUACUGUCAGACUUGGGACCGGGAGAGGUAAGAGGUACUACA